GAACGGGUGAGUAACACGUGGGUGAUCUGCCCUGCACUUCGGGAUAAGCCUGGGAAACUGGGUCUAAUACCGGAUAUGACCAUGGGAUGCAUGUCUUGUGGUGGAAAGAUUUAUCGGUGCAGGAUGGGCCCGCGGCCUAUCAGCUUGUUGGUGGGGUAAUGGCCUACCAAGGCGACGACGGGUAGCCGACCUGAGAGGGUGACCGGCCACACUGGGACUGAGACACGGCCCAGACUCCUACGGGAGGCAGCAGUGGGGAAUAUUGCACAAUGGGCGGAAGCCUGAUGCAGCGACGCCGCGUGAGGGAUGACGGCCUUCGGGUUGUAAACCUCUUUCGACAGGGACGAAGCGUNAGUGACGGUACCUGUAGAAGAAGCACCGGCCAACUACGUGCCAGCAGCCGCGGUAAUACGUAGGGUGCGAGCGUUGUCCGGAAUUACUGGGCGUAAAGAGCUUGUAGGCGGUUCGUCGCGUCGAUCGUGAAAACCUACCGCUCAACGGUGGGCUUGCGGUCGAUACGGGCGGACUAGAGUACUUCAGGGGAGACUGGAAUUCCUGGUGUAGCGGUGAAAUGCGCAGAUAUCANGAGGAACACCGGUGGCGAAGGCNGGUCUCUGGGAANUAACUGACGCUGAAAAGCGAAA
RNAcentral lists this ribosomal RNA (644 nucleotides) under Nocardia sp. 5113_1. RNAcentral's name for it is "bacterial SSU rRNA". It matches the Rfam family "Bacterial small subunit ribosomal RNA", at positions 100 to 758 of the family's 1533-position model. Lineage: Bacteria; Bacillati; Actinomycetota; Actinomycetes; Mycobacteriales; Nocardiaceae. The record is from RNAcentral.